Molecule: non-coding RNA, 302 nt
Organism: Vicugna pacos (alpaca)
Lineage: Eukaryota; Metazoa; Chordata; Mammalia; Artiodactyla; Camelidae
Source: RefSeq, a predicted model, not a curated record
UGCUCUUCCAAUCUACCUAGUUGAGGCCCCAAAGCAUUAUACCUAGAAAUAAAGGACUGACACCCACCUUAAUACAAGUUCAAUUUUGAUUAGAAUAAAGAGACCUCCUAGUUUAUGGUAUUAGAAGUAAAACUAAACUGCCUUUGGAGGAGGAUAAUAUUAAGGUAUCUUUAACUUUUUCAUGUAUAAUAUGCAUCAUUCAUUAAAACAUAGCCCAGCAAUGAACAAUACAAGGGGGUCACUGGAAACUAAGAGGGGAAAAAAUAGAACCCCCUUUUUCUUAAAUAGACCAAUAGGAAAUC